This is a small nucleolar RNA of Hucho hucho (huchen), 132 nucleotides long. The record is from Ensembl. Lineage: Eukaryota; Metazoa; Chordata; Actinopteri; Salmoniformes; Salmonidae.
UAGCAUGCUAUCCUAAGGACCCGGGCUCUGUCUGUAGCCUCUGGUUCUCCAAGUGCAUGCCAGAGAAACGGGGAGUCUUUGACUGUCCUAGCGUCUCUGUGCCUGAGGUAGUCACUCUACUGUCCUACACAU